CUGAAGAGCAUUCGCUAGCUACGCAGCUUCUCUUACUUGCUCAUCACUUGCAUCUUAGUUCCCAUAAAGGAUGUUGUCUUUGAUGGAGACGUUGAAAAGUUGGGGUUCUUGCAUGACGAUGCUCACUUCCUUCCUCAAACUCUUCAAGUCAAUGU
RNAcentral lists this non-coding RNA (155 nucleotides) under uncultured Stichotrichia. The record is from RNAcentral. Lineage: Eukaryota; Ciliophora; Spirotrichea.